AACGAACGCUGGCGACAUGCCUAACACAUGCAAGUCGAACGAGACCUUCGGGUCUAGUGGCGCACGGGUGCGUAACGCGUGGGAACCUGCCCUUAGGUUCGGAAUAACUCCCCGAAAGGGGUGCUAAUACCGGAUAAUGUCUUCGGACCAAAGAUUUAUCGCCUUUGGAUGGGCCCGCGUUGGAUUAGCUAGUUGGUAGGGUAAAAGCCUACCAAGGCGACGAUCCAUAGCUGGUCUGAGAGGAUGAUCAGCCACACUGGGACUGAGACACGGCCCAGACUCCUACGGGAGGCAGCAGUGGGGAAUAUUGGACAAUGGGCGAAAGCCUGAUCCAGUAAUGCCGCGUGAGUGAUGAAGGCCUUAGGGUUGUAAAGCUCUUUUACCCGGGAUGAUAAUGACAGUACCGGGAGAAUAAGCUCCGGCUAACUCCGUG
This 433-nucleotide ribosomal RNA is filed under the name uncultured bacterium. RNAcentral describes it as "partial 16S ribosomal RNA". It matches the Rfam family "Bacterial small subunit ribosomal RNA", at positions 29 to 507 of the family's 1533-position model. The record is from RNAcentral.